Non-coding RNA from Rattus norvegicus (Norway rat), 17351 nucleotides. The record is from RefSeq and is a predicted model, not a curated record. NCBI's taxonomy places the organism in Eukaryota, Metazoa, Chordata, Mammalia, Rodentia, Muridae.
GGAUGGACUGCCAGACCGAAGGCUUCAUGAAAGAACUGUGCUGCUGUGAACGUCUGUAUAUGGGCGUAUAGAAGAUUUCACACAGGCAUAGUUUUUAACUGUCUUGAGUACUUGUGGGCAUUGGCAUCCGCUCAGCAUCUGCUAGGGCCUCUGUGCUGGGUCCAGACAUGGCUCCGUUUCACUUGUGGGUGCCCCUUUAAUACCCGAACAAUAUAUUAUAUAUUGUUUCUUUACUAAUCUCACUGCACUUGCCCAAAAUUCUCCUCCUGAGACUUAACCAGAGAACAGAGUCUCUGCUGGGCUUUUCUGAGACUUCCUUUGUCGGUGCAAUGAAUCUGAGUCUUCACCUUAGCCUCAGGUAGACUCUUCAGACAGGGGCAAAAAGCAGCCACAUUCUUCACCAAAACACCACAAAAACAAUCUCCAGGCCACACACUGAAAUUAUUCUCCCUGAAGCCUCCUGGGCCAGGUCUAUGCAGUUAAAAUCACUCACAGCCACAAAGUCUUCCUGCCAGGAUAGCUCAUUGGGCCCCACUCAAACCAUUUCUUGGCUUUCCAAAUCCAAAGUCACAAAAUUCACGUUCUUCCAAAUAAAAGUAUGGUGAGGCCUAUCAGUAAUACCCAGGCCUUGGUAUCAACUUCUGACUUACUUAGGGUUUUACUGCUGCGGACAGACAGUGUGACCGAGGCAGCUCUCACAAGGACAACAUGUGACUGGGGCUGGCUUACAGGGUCAGAAGUUCAUUCCGUCAACAUCAUGGCAGGAGCAGGGCAGCGUCCAGGCACGAUGGUGCAGGAGGAGGUGAGAGUUCUCCAUCCUCAUCUAAAGGCUGCUAGCAGAGCACUGAGAGACUUACAACCCACACCCACAGGGCUAUGCCCACUCCAGCAGGGCCAAACCCUCUCCAGCAGGGCCAAACCCACUCCAGCCAGGGUCACACUUACUCCAGCAAGGCCACAACCACACCCACUCCAGCAGGGCCACAACCACCCCCACUUAUUUCUGGCUCUUAUUUCCUUUAAGUAUGAUAUCUGGGACCUUUUGGUGGGACACCAUCUAGCUCCUUCCCUCUAUGUCUAUUGUCUGACCUUGGUGCUCCAAGCUGUCCUUGUAUGUCAGUUUAUGGCUGGGUUUUGCUUCUAGUUGCUUGAAUGUUUUGUGUUUCAUGUUUAAAAGAAAAACAUGGUUAAAACUUUAAAUGCUGGUUGAUUCCUCCCUUUAUUUAGUUUUAAGUCCUUUCAGGAAAGGAACAAAUAAAUAAAAAGCAGUUUAAAUUGACCUUUGGAGAUCUGCAUCAUAGAUAACUGGUUAUCUCUGGUGUCACAGUCAUGCAUGUCUCUGACUGGAUCUGGCAUCAAUGGAGGAAUGUAGCUAGGAGCCUAGGUCUGUCCACUGGGGAAGCUCCCCAGGAGGCUGGCUAAAUGUUUACACUAGCUGAUCUUAAAUGUGCCAGCAGCCUCAAAGCUCCUAUGGUAAUGGAGCUGUUAGCUGUUUCUCUUAGAGAAAUCUUUAACUGUGAUUAUUGGAUUCAACAGGUAACAAGGUGCUUCUUUUAAAAUGACAGCCAGAAAAAGUAAAAAUGGUAUUUGAUCUAAAUACUAAAGAUAUGUGUUGUCACUUCAUUUUUUUUCUGUUUGGUUUUAAAUGUACAAUGCGCUCUACAUGUCUUGGCUAUAGGUGACUGGCUUUUAAGUUAUUGGGUAUGGUUAAAAGUUUGUAACAUUGGUAACAGAAAGUGGCUUAAAACUGGAGUCAUUCUAGACAACACGUGGCAUGAGCCAACAUAGGGAAACAGGUCUAGAUUGGGAUCAUAUUUUAAUAUAACUCUUAUCAUGGAAACCAGACUUUUAAAAGAAUUUAGGGCAAUGUCUCUUUGGUGAGGUAUUAGAGCCUGCACCAUUGCUCGUUCAUAUGCAAGACUUGGCAGUCAUACUUUAUAGCUCGAGGAAUGGACUUGGAGUUUUGGAGAGACAGGAUUUUAGAGAAUAGAUUGUUUGUUGGAGGGUGACUUUUGCUUUCCAAAGUUAUGGCUGUGCUCUUGUGUUACAAGGGAAACUUAAAGAUUGUGGUUAAUGAUUGCCAGUGUUACAUUGACUACUGUUUACAGUUCGGUCACAGAGAGACGCAGGAUUCUAACUCACACAUAUUGGUAAUUCAGGAAAAAUCAAACAGGUGGAGAUUGUUACGAAGGGUUGAUGAGACUACGGAACUUAUAAGAGCAUUACAGCCUGAUUGCUUACUCCAAAUGCUAUUUCAAGAAAUACAUAUAGAAUUAUGAUAGGUUUAAGAGAUUGUUUUUAUGCUGUUUCUUUGCACUCUGGGGUUGUUAUGAAAUAUUGCAUUAUUGUGUUUUCUUGGGUGUUGUUUGCCUUGACCAUACAUUUGUAUGACUUUUUCAAAGAAAAGUGUAUUCACUCUUAUUUAUUUUGAUGAAUUGUUCUUUGGCUGACUUUUGUCUGUGGUCCCUCUGCAUGCAGUUCCCUCAGUGGCCAGCAGAUGGCACUAGAUACCCUGUUACAGAUGAUGGUUAAGCACACUAUAGGUCCUCUGAGUGAGCAGCAGAUUUUGCAUUGGGUUCUGUUGUUUAUGACCUGGAGUUUGCCUCUCCCCUAUGUUUAUCUCUGGUGUUAACUGUCAUUCAUGUCUCUGACUGGAUCAGGCCUCAGUGGAGGAAUGUAGAGCUCUGUGAGCUGGGUGACAGCUGGUCUCCUGGGAGUCAGGUAGUACUGUCUCUGUUUAGUGUGGGCCUCCUGUGUCUCUGGUUAGAGCAGGCCUCCAGGGUCCCUGGAGUUUAAAGCCACAGGCCUCAGAGAAUUUUGAGAGAGUCUGUCCUAUUAUUUUCUAUCUUCCCUUCACAUUUCCUACAUGUUUAAUAGAGUACAGAGUUGGUAACUAUGAAUUAUAUUUCCUAGGUAUCUCUCAAACCAAGAGUUUGCAUGUGACUAAGUUCUAGCCAGAAACAUGUGAACAGUGUCCAUAGACAAAAUGACUGCCAUUUUCUUCUUUAUGUUUACCCUCCCUAGUACUGAGGAUCAAAUUCCUAUAUUCUCAAAGAUAGUUGCUUUAUUCAAUAUCAAGAAUGUAUGUGUAAAGUGUCAACAUCUGGUGUUGGGAAUUGUCUUAUUUUGUCCCCAAAAAGCGUCACUUCUAGACCUGAGUGCCCCGAGGGCUUCAACUGAUAAUAAAGAGUUGCCAUAGCCAAUGGCUGAGCAGAAAGAUAGAAAGACAGGUCAAGGGUUUAGGAGAGAGGAAAGGAUGAAGAGAGUCACCAUGAUCCAGAGUUAGAAGGAUCAGAUUUAAGAGCUACAGGAGAGAAAGCAGCCUAUGAUGUUGGAAGAAGGGAACUGGACCCUAUUGGGGGAGUGGGGUGUUUCCCAGAAGGUAACAGGGCAGCAAAGAUAAAACAUAGAUUUAAAAGGUGUUAAACCUGGGAUGCUGGGUGGAAGGGAGAUGUAUGGUAGCUGUCAGGAGAAUUAGAAAUGUGCCUUUCAUUCUCAAAACUGGAGAACUCUUGGGCAGGUGCCAUGACUGUACUAAGGAGCCAAAGUUCUUUAAUUAAUUCACUGCUACAGUCUGGUACAUUGAGGUCCCAAGUGAGGGUCGCAUUAACCUGGACAAGAGUUACACAGCCCAGUCAGCCAAUGCACAGUUUAUUCAGCUUCAACUUCUUUUAAAGGCAAAGCAGGAUAAAAGUUUCCCACCAUUUCUAGGUCUCACCAGCUGCUAUUUCUCUAGCAAUAGCACAUCUUGGAUCAAAGUGACCCAAACUUCCUUGCAGAAUCUGUCAGCAGUCCAACUCUUAGAUGUGUUAGAGGUGCUGCUGUCUAAUUAAGCUAUAAACAAAGUUACUUUCUCAUGAGAAAAUGACCAUGAAGUCCACGUCCUCAGGUUCGCAGCUUAUUUGGGAGACAGAGCACCAGGAUCCUCUGCUUGAGGAAUUGCCUCCUCUGUAUCUCAGUGUGCUGAGAGUGACCGAACCAUCCUAGGGUGCCCUGCAGCUGGCAAGCUAGGAGCAGUCGCCUCAUGACAUUUCUCUAAAUUAAAGAAAAAUAGUGUCAACCCUAAUCCCUAGAGAAUGGCUAAGCAGACAGAGGGACCUGUGGCCCUGAAUAGCCAGAGAAAUGCUGCCCUCUGUGGAUUGGCUGCCUACCUUUUGGCUAUCACAGGCAAGGGAAAACUCUCAAUAUUUGCACCAGAUCCAGUCUUUUCCAAUAGUUUGGCCUGUGCCCUAAUUAACUUAAAAACACUUAAUAAUUUUAGUAUUAAUAAUUUAUUACAAAUUUCAGCUACAUAAUUCAGACUGUGCCUAAAAUGGGAAAAAUGAAAGGAAGUAAAUUCUUAGUAAUCUCAGAUGUAAUAAUCAGGGACUUUAGAGAAUUAUAGAGCCUUUGUUGUAUAACUAAACCUUCAAGAAGUUACUCUUAAACCUUGAGUGUAACCAAGCAAGACUGAGCCAGAAAGCAACAUUCUGAUUCACUUUUAUACUAGACUCAAGGACAAUCAUAUACAAUACACACAUCAAUCACAGACAUUUUCUUUUGUCCUCUCCUGCUUACAUGGAAAGCAAUGGAGCCAGAAACUCUGAUGAUAAACUUCAGUCCAAACACAAGAAGCCAAUUAAAAUAACAACAACAAUAAAGAAACCUGGUUUGAUAGCACACACUUUUGCUGGGGGGACAGAGACUCCAUAUCCUCCCUAGCCAGUCAGCCGGGCUGACCUGUCCUAUUCCUAGUCAAAUGAAAACUCCCAUUUUAUAAAAUCUGGUGGAUGGCACCUGAAGAGUAAACCCCAAGGUUGUCCUCUGGCCUGCACACAUGCAAGCUCACAUAUGCAGAGCCACAGGACCAAACUAGCCUGUAAAAGGUUUAUCAUGAGCCAGGAAGAUAGCUCAAUGUGUAAAGGUACUUGUGUGGCCAAGCCUGACAUAAUCAGUUCAAUACCUGGGACCUACACAGAAACCUGACUCCUACCAGAUGGCCCUGACCUCCAUGCUUUGAGGUUUGGUCUGUUGCUCUGUAUUGUAAUGGUAACUGCAGGCGUCCACGGGCUGAUUGUCCCAGAGACAAGAGAGUCCACAUGUAGACCCAAGUGAUACUAUGUAAACUUGUGUCCCCAAAUUAUUUCUGAUAGAUGAAUAAGGAUUCCAACAGUCAACAGCUGGGCACAGGGAGGGUUUAGCAUCCCAGGACUUGAGGCAUCCAAGAAGAACCAUGAGGAAUAAAGAAGGUGAAGGGAGGAGGAAGCCGCCAUGGGUCAGGUGGGUUGGCUAAUUGGUGUUAAGAGCAGCCCAGAUGAAACACAGUAAAUUAUAUAGUGGGAUUAUAAGCUGGGAAACAGACAUAACAACCAGAGGAUCCAUAUCUGCCCAGCUCCUGUGCUGAUUAAGGCUUAAUGUAAAUAUAAAGCUUGUGGGUGUCUUUUAUCUGGGAACUAAGUGGUCAGAGGCAGGGGAGAAAACCUGGGUUGGGAUUAAAUAAUUUCUACAACAUCUACACUCACAACUCCUGCCCCUCUACACACACACACACACAAAAUAAAUGUAAUUUUAAAAAGGGGGAUAAGGAACUUGUCAUCAACCAUGGGGAUCCAAGUUCUAUCACUAAAACCCAUGUGGUAGGAUGAUGACCUCCUCACUCAUUGUCCUCUGACCUACAUAUAUGCACACUAACAUAUAGGCAUAUGCACACAGAAUACGAUAAUGUAUCAAUUAACGGAUUAAUAAUUUAAUUAAAGUUUUUUGAAAUCAUCUGUUCUUGGUCCCCGCUCACUUCUUUCUUUGGUUUAAACAGCUCGCUUCCCCACAUCUGCCUCUCCUUCUCACAUGCCUUUCAUGCUUGCAUGUGUGUUUCUCCUCUCUUAGUGUCUAUGUUUAACUCUAUAUUCACUUGUUUAUAAACUACAGAUCUGGUGGCUAGACACAUGGUUUCCUGGUUAAAAGAACUUGCUGUGGGAUCAUAAGGCUUGGAGUCCAAAUCCUAUCAUCCUGCAAACACCAGCUACUACAUCUGCCAGGAAUCAGACAACAUCCUCUUGGGCAGAAAUAAUGAAGUACUGCCAGUAAUUUGGAGGAACAUACACUUACAAAUAUAUGGCAAAAGUGCAAAAGUUGUCCUUUUAAAAUGUAGCUCACAAAAGUGUUAGGACCUGGGAUAUAAAUCAAAGGGAAGUAAAAAUUCUGGUUCCUUUUAUACCAUGUGAGCCAAUCAAGUACUGUUAUGUCUACAAACCUGUUCCUUUGUCCUUACGCCAAAUUUAAAUAGUGCUUUGGGAUAUUAAAUGGGAAACCACUUAGCAAAGAGUCCUGGAGCAUAGUCCAUACUAUGGACUUCACCAAUUAUUAUUAAGUUUUGGAACAAAUGUUAAAAAACAAGUAGGGUUUCAUGUACAUUUUUAAGUGUCAGGCUCAAGGCUUACAAUCCUAUGACAUAAGGUUGAGAGUGAUAUAUAAAAGGAAUUACAAAAUAUCAUUUGCCAAGGAAAAAUGCUAAGUAAAAAUACGCUUCAACUUGAGAACCAAAAUACAACAUGUAGGAAAGCUCCUUGUACAAAAUGGUAGAAAACAUCACACUAAAGAUAAUAAGACACCUCUCCUUCCUGAACACUACAAGAAACAGAAUUCCCUGAGAUCUUCUAGGGUUUUCCUGUCUGGAUAAAGGAAGCCCCAGUAAGUUCUCUCGUCACCACAGUCGUAUUUCCAGUAGAACAUCAAAGCAAAACCUAGGAAAGGCUUUCCCAUUCUCAGCAAUUCAUUUUUAUUUCAUUCUAGACUUACCGAUAAACUACUUCGAAAGGCAAACAAAUUUUGGUAGGCAGCAAAAUUUCACUCAAAAAAUAAAUAAAAAUGAAUUCUAUUUUAUCUUUUGACAACAAUGAAAAGUGUCAGAGAACAAGAAAUGGUAACACACCUUUAAUCCCAGCACUCUGGAGACAGAGGUAGGUGGGCAGAUCACUUGACUUUGAAACCAGGCUGAUCUAUAGGCUACUCAGGAAGUUUGUGCAUCUCUGAAAAAUCCAGCCUCCAACAAAAGGAGGGAGGGAGGGAGGGAGAGAGAGAGAGAGAGAGAGAGAGAGAGAGAGAGAGAGAGAGAGAGAGAGAGAGAGAAAGAGAAAGAAAGAUCCAAUUUAAUUAAAAAGUUUGGAUUAUCUGUUUAUAUGUUUCUUUGUUCGGGGACUGGAGUGCAGAGGGUUUUCUAGCAAAAUAAAGCAAGCAGAAUUUACUUAUGAAGCCUGCAGGAUCAUUUCCCACAGCAGUACUAUCCACCCCACUGCUAAACUCUGCAGAGCAUCGAUGGAGUGGGUAUGAAACUUCUCUAGUUUUCCUUCAAGCUGUAAACUGCAGGCCAGUAGCAUCCUCAAUGCUGCCUCCCAAAGUGGCAUCUUCAUCUUAUACCAUCUCAUCCCAUGUGGUUGGGGGAAUGAGAAGGAUAUGCAGGCUCUGAUGCUGUUUCCCCUGUGUUUACUUUCCAAAUGCUUUUAUAUCCUUGCUGUUUUCAUGUUCCCCUUAUAACAAGAGCCUCUGUGGCACUAUUUCUGUGUAAUUGUCUCUAGCUUGUCACUACAUGAGUACAUGGUGGCCAGACUCUGCUGACUUUAAUAGAUACCAGAGAAAAUAUGAGAUCCACACCCCAACCCCCUCUGCCUUUAUCUUGCUAGUCUCCACCCAGCUCAGUAGUGCAUCGUGAGAGGAUUCUCACAGAGGUGUGUGGACAGUCUAGUUUCUGAUGAACAAGCUCUGUCUACAUCACUUCCUCAAUGACAACCCCUCAAACCCUAGGAGAUGCAUCCUAGUAAUGUGAGACAGCCAGUAUGAAGCCCCUGACUUUUGCUUAGGGCAAACAUUUAAGCAGGGCAUACCCUGAUCUCAGGUUCAGGGCAGUUUGUCUGCCUGACAGGUGGCUUUGUGUCUCCAUGAGUAAUCUCUACUUAAAGGCGGACUUGUCACAAGAAAGAGUCCAGAGCUGAGUCUUACAUUCUAAGAACUUCACAUCUUAUCAAUUACACUUCUGGGCUGCGUGUUUUCAGUCGCCACAUAUUCAAGUCACCAGUUUUGUUUGUUUGUUUGUUUGUUUGUUUGUUUCCAGUAUUGGACACAGAGAGGUAGCAGUUCUACUGUGUUCUGUGUUUCGGACAUAUGACUGGAUGGUUGACUUUCUGUCUCUACUUCCGCAGUUAGACCAUCAUGCUGAAUUAGUAAGUUGGAAUCCUCAUUUUGUAGUUCAAAAGUGACUUCUUUCCACUUCUAAUUGUAGCAUCAGCAUCUGAGUACAAGUUUAGUUUAUACAUAGUCUAGGAUUUCUUAACAGAAAAUAUAUUGAUACCCUCAGCUUUAGAACUGAGACAUAAAGCUUUGCUAAUUUUCAGUUCCUGUUCUUGAGGCCAUUGUAUUUGGGGAACAUCAUGUGAUUAGUAAUUGCACGUCAACUUGGUCAGGCACGGGAUGCCCAGGAGCUGACUAAAUAUUAUGUCUUACAGUAUCUGGAAGAGUGUUCUAAAGAGUUUAGCAUCCACACUGGUGGACUAAAGGACAUAACUUCUCCUCUGUGUGUGUGUGUGUGUGUGUGUGUGUGUGUGUGUGUGUGUGUGUGUGUGUGUGUGACAUCUGGCCAGUUGCUGGCUGAAUAGAAAGAGGAAUAUAGGUGAAGGUUGAUUCCUAGCUUGAUUUGGGGGAUUGAUCUGUCAGUGUUAUUUUUAAUUCUCAGGCUGUCAGGCUGACUAGAUCUCAACUGUGACCUCUACAGUUUUGAGAUUUCUUUCAAACAUAACACUGACUUUACAAGUAGAAACACAUAGAGAGCCACAUGUAAGUCAAGGGCUGGAAUACAGACUGAGAAAACUGUUCCUAGGCAGUUUUGUAGCUUGAGUGUGAAAUACACUAUUGAAAAAACAUUGUGCAUCAUAUGACUGUGUAUACAGAACACACAUGCAGAGAGAGACAUAUACAAUUGGUUCUAUUUCUUUUAUUUCUUUGAAGAAGUCUGACUAAUACUUAGUACUUGAAAUCUAAAAUUCAUAGUUUUCUUUAUGGAUCUGUAAGUCAGAGGCUUUGGAAGGCAAGUUACUUGCUGUAGGUCAUUCUUCAAAGGAAGGCGACGAUAAACAUGAAGGAAAGGUGAACGUCGUGGAGGAAGUUAACACUGGGCCUGCAUAGUUACAUUGGGAGGACUCGUGUCUUUCAAAACACUCAAUCUUUACUUCCUGAUUUCUACACAUGUCUAAAUGUUUUCAAAAGGAGUUCUAAGAACUCCAUCUGUGCCUGGUAGUAAACUAGACAAGGCUCACACCAUUCACUGUAGCAACUGAAGUCACUGAAACCUGGAGAUUAGAUAUAAAGGAUGUGCACUGUCAUCCACACAGUCCACAGAGUCCUGUGAAGUUUCUAUGUUGCUAGCUAUUGUAUGUUUGCUAUCCUCCAGCACCAUCAGUCACUAUCCUUGGUUCUUGUUUUGAGCCUGAACCUCAUUGAGGACCUGCUAGAAAGGCAGUCUGAGUAGAUCUCUGGUCAUAGAAGAUAGCAAGAAAGAUGAGCACCAUGAAGGUAACCUAGAACUCAUGAAGGACUGAAGCCUUUGAGGAUACACUGGAUGUGCACAUGUCUUACCGUCUCCAGCCUUAGUAGCACCAGUAUCCUGCAGAGGAGCUCAAUGAUCUGAAAAUGUACAUGACUUGAGACUUGAAGAACCAUUGGUGGAGACCGAGGAGUUCCAAGUGCAGAUGAUAUCCUAUGCAGCAGGAUGAGCCAGCAGGUCAGGAGGAGUGUGGGAUGCCACCAGCAUGCCCAGAGACUUGCAUUUUGUUUUUAGAGUGGGGACACAAUGGUGAUGCUUCUCUGCUGCUUUUCAGAUGACAGGCAACAUGACACUUGCUCAAUCGCAAGCGAGUGCUUGUCACAAGGAUUCUGGAUGGUGUUUUCUUCUGGAAGAUACAAGGAAACUCUACCAUUCAGCUCCUCUAAGGCUUCAGGCAUCUGCAUGGAAGGCACAGCAAGAGGAGAGACAGUGUCAGUGCAUCCACUGCUCCACCACAGUCUGCUUUCUCAUUAGGAAAACAAAAGGUCUCCCAGGAAUUCGGAGACCUGCAAAGAAGGAGUUUGAAACAGCUUUCAAAUGACUCAAAAGCGUUUUUAAAAAAAUCUAUUGAGUGAGUUCUCAUGUGAAGUUCAUAGAACACUCACUUCCUAGUUUGAAAAUUGGUAUUUGAGGAGCAAAUUAAACAUCCAAACUUCAUAAAAUCUUCCUAACAAUAUAUCUUAAGGAAACCAAAUAGGUCCAAAUGAUGACUGUUUUACUGUAUAGAAGGCUCUUAAUUAAGAAUAUGGAAGCAAUACAGAAUCAGAAAAGCCCACAUUCUGUAAUUCCUAUUAAAUUUAGCAAUUUAGUUACUAUGUUGAAUUCUAAUUAAAAUGUUUAGCUGUUGGGACCUAAGAAAGUCACAUAGGACCAAAAGUAACCUUGCAGAGAUGGCUUUCUUGUGGCUGAUUUCAUUUCAGUGAAAGCUCAGACUGGACCAACAAGCUCAUCAGGUAAAGGAACUUGCUACCAAGCUUGGUGACUUGAGUGUGAUCUCUGGAAUCAGGUCCAAAGGACAGAACUCCUCCAAAAGUUAUCCACUGAUGCCACACAGUGCACAGUGGAAUUCAUGUGCACAAGUGCACACAUACACACACACACACACACACACACACACACACACAAAGAGAGGAGGGGCAAGAAUAAACAUAAUAUAUUUUGCAAAAGCUCAAAUGUCACAGUGCCUAAGAAUGAAUCUUGGCAUCCAGUCAGUGUUGCAGAACAGAAGGCAGAAGCAGGCCAAGUCUUCAGCAAGCUAGCAUGUUUCUAAGAAUGUGGGUCCUGAGGCAAAACAAGGUUUGGAACCAGGGUGUGUUCAAACAAAUGGACCAUAAAAGGAUUUUUUGAGGACUUGAUGCAGACAUUUGCACUUGGACCAGAAUUAUUGUUAAUGUUGGCAUUCAUUCUACACUCCACUGAGCCAAGCUCCCUGGGCAAGCCAUCCCCAAAUAGGACUUGGAAGUGCCAUUUCCACAUCUAGCUACUAGGAUAAAGAGUCCCACCUCUAAAUCCCCUGCCUGUGAGUUCAGAGCAUUCCAGGGGUAUCUGAAAAGAUCUUCCCAGUACAGGCCCAAUACCUCUGAGACAUUCUCAUGCUCUUCCUACCCCAGGUUUAGUCUCCUUGAUGGUGACCUGGGCCCUUGAAAACAAAAGAAGUAAAUAGUUCUUAAGAAGCUGUGGCUUUUUGUUUAGCUUCUGGUUCUUAGAGGCUUUGAUGAGAAGCUAAAUUAUAGGAAAAAAGAUUUUGCACAUUAAUUUGGGAUCAUAGAAUUCACAUCCAACAAACUGGCGAGACUGGACUCAGAGCUGGAGAGGGGAGACCCAGAUGGAACUUGAGAACUGUCCAAAGCUACAUCCCAUUUCCCUUUGCAACUGCAAGAGCGGGAGAGACCGAUUUCUGAGUUGUGCUGAUUUGUCCUAUACUAGGCUUGGUAAUGAGAAAGCACAGUGCCUCCGUUUGUAGCCUCAAACUCCAGGCUCUCCUAUCUCAGUUUCCCAUGCAUCAGGAGGGCACGUAUGCGCUGCCAAAUUGCUAGCAGGAACAGAAAGAUUUCUGUAUUCUGUUAUCUUCUUCAUGGGCUGAGGCUGAGCCUGGAGUCUCUAUGUCAGUAGCAUCUUUCAAGGCUGUUCCUCUGCAGCUCUGAAACCUUUUUUUUUAAUACAAACCAAGUUUAUUUUGCCUUUUAAAUAGUGUUCAUAUAGCACUGCAGCUAGGUAAACAAUGUGAAUUAGUAUACGUCAUCUCAAAAGUCAGAAUCUUGUUAUCGUUGUUGUCGUUUUUUAAUGGGUUGUGAAAAAGAUGCAGCCUAUUCUAACAGGAUAAAUAUUUUUAACCAUUUCACUUUGAGUUAAGGAAGGCUCACAAAUGAGCAACAGUCCUCAUUGAGGAAAACAGAAAGCUAUUGUCGACAAGGGACAGCUCACACACACAAGCAAAAAGAACUGUGUAAAAAUAACUAACUGUUCCCAUAUUAAACCUUGAGCACUGGGGAGAUGCCUGAGGAGGUUCACUGUCAGAAUAUUCAAGCACUUGGGCACCCUCUAGAGGAACAACUUGAAAACCUACAAAACUUCAUUUGGAGAGGUUCACUGUCAAAAUAUUCAAGCACUUGGGUACCCUCUAGAGGAACAACUUGAAAAACCUUCAAAACUUCACUUGGAAAUAAGAAAAAUCUGAUUUUACCUAAGCUAUGAAAUUUUAAGCUCAGAAGUACCACUUGGACAUUUUUAUUUGGAAACCUCUCCAGAAAGUGUCUUGCUCAAAAGAACCCAUGAAAUGGGCGCAGCCACUGUCUUUGCUACUGUUCCAGUCCUUUCUGUACAGCAACACAGGGACAAUCAUCUCCAGUUUCUGAACUGCAGUAAACUGUAAGCACUGCUACAGUGUGGGACAGCUAGCUUUCCUCCAGUUCUUAGGGAUAGCAUUCUUAACAUUUGAAUGCCUGUAGCAUCGCUCAUCUUUGUCCCUUCUUCCUCCCUCCUUCCUGUCCUUCUAUUUGUCUGUGCUAGACAAGGUUCUGCCAUUAAACUGUCACCCCAUAUCUGAGUUUCUUUUCAUAGGAUUAAGUCACCAAAUCAUAUAAAGUCACAUCCCCUGAGAUGACAGCUUGUUUCCAUGUCACUUCCUUAUGGCUGUUCUUUUGAGAAAGGCUCUCAAUGCACAGCCCAGACUUAACACAACCUAGAGACCCUCCUGUCUCUGACUCCCAGUCCACAUCGCUUUCAUCUGAAAUGAGAUUAAAAGCUCAAGUUUCAACUUUUGUCUCCAGUCCUGGGAGCUUUCUCUCUUGAAGAUGCUCUGAUAAUUAAGUGGGCCAGCGUUGAUUGGAAUCAGUUUGACUUUGGGUUGGUAAAAAUUUUCACUGAGUUCAUGGACUUCAUUUCUUCUCUUUGAGUCUCUGAGAACCUGGUUCUUAUUUUGUUCUUCAGGGACCAAGAGUCCAGAGAUUAGAAAUACACCAAAGGUGAAGAUUCUAGUAAGAAACCUUGACCCAUAAACUCAGGCCUUAAAGAGAACGCUAAGGAUGACUUAGAAGUAAAGGCAAUGUAUUUUUACACUCUGUUCAUGGGGAGAAUAAAAAUCAGUAAGAUAGACGGAAAGAGAACACUAAAGACAACAGAGACCUGCCCAUGAGACCUUACAGGUAUCUGUUGGUUGGCGUUCUCUGUGAGCUUGUAGCCCCAACAUCAUCUCACCUGGAUGUUCUACUAACCUCAUGCCUUGUUAAGUUUACAGUUGUUUAAGAUCAGACAUAGUACCAGUGUCAUAGUCAAUGUUCUAUUGCUAUGAAGAGACAACGUGACCAUGACAACUCUUACGGAGGAAAAUUUUUAAUUGGGACUGGCUUAACAUUUUCAGGGGUCUAGUCUAUUAUUGUCACGGGGUAUGGGGUUGGGAACACAGGAAGCCAUGGUACUAGAGAGAUAGCUGAGACUUCUACAUUCCAAUCAGCAGGCAGCAGGAAGGGAGCAAAGGCAUUGGGCCUAGCUUGACCAUUGUUAGAUUCUCUUUUUGAUCACCAAGAAACAAAUAGAUUUAGGUCUGUGGAGAUUUCCAGGCAAAUGUGGUGGUUAGGCCCUGUAAUUGUAACAACUUGGAGACAGAGAAUAAGUCAAGGUGAAGACCAACUUUAGCCCAGAGUGAGACCCUGUCUCAAAAAAAAAAAAAAAAAAAACCCACGAAGAAAAACAAAAAAAGAAGAGCCUGAAGAAAUGUACCACACCUUGAUUACAUAACCUUCUUGAUACCCUGAGAUAUUACUGGGGUCAGGCUAGUUGGACAGUAAAUCUUAACAGUGAACAGCACUGAUCAAUCAAUAGGCCUUGACUGUAUAUAAAGAGAAAGGGGGUGGAGCAUAAGUAUUCAUUGCUGUCUGCGUUCUCAGAGAGGAUAAUAUGUAGACAGCUGCUCAACCUGCCAUGGUGGACUGUGGCCUCCAAUUGUUGGCCAACAUACACCACUUCAUUAAGUUGAUUCUCGGGCAUGUGAUUUAGUAAUGGGGAAGGAACUCAUGUGGUAGGACAUCUACAAAUCCGUGUGAACAGGCAGGCAUGUUAAAAAUAGGGAAAGGGUCCAGAGGAAGCUUCAUAAACAAGAAAAUCUCCAAAUUGCAGUCUUUAAGUAUACUGUAUGUACAACACCAACAUUAACAUGUAAAACAUAUCCAGAUUUCAAGGAGAGACAUUCUAGUCAUGGUGGCACAUGUGUGUAAUCCCGACACUGGGAAGAUGAAGCAGGAGGAUCUCUGUGAGUUUAGGUCAGCCAGGACUACAUAAGCUGGGAAGUGGAGUGGAGAUCUAUGAUUGCAAGGAGUGUUGUAGUCUAGAAGCCAGGAGAGGCAAUUUGAACAGAUGGUAGGUUUACUUCACUGCUAUAGCAACUAGAACUCUGCUUCAUUGAUUCUAGUCUUAGGGAAGAAGAAAAAUAAGAUCCUGCAUAUAGGUUCCACUUUUGAGCCAAGAUUCUGGAGCCAUGGCAGUUUGGGAAUCUUUUAGGGAAGUACGAUCUCAACCAAUGAUUCUCAGCCUCCCUAAUCCUGUAACGCUAAUAUAUUUUCUCAUGGCUUUGUGACUCUUAACCACUACUUCAUUUUGCUUCUCUUCAUGAUUCAAAUUUUGCUCCUGAUUUGAUUGUAAAGAAAAAUGGAUGGAAUAUCUGAUAUGGAAAAUAUAUGUGACCCCGUAUUGAUUAUGAUCCACAAGUUGAGAAUCACUGGUCUAAACUGCUAAUUUUAAACAAAAAUGUUUUUCAAGUACUUUCUACAAUGUACAUUGACCAUUACUAUUUUUGUUUUAUUUUCAAUAAAAAAAGGAUUUUAUUAUUAACAUCGAUGGAAGCUUACUAACCUUGGAUUUUUAUGAAAAUUGGCUUAGCAUCCCAGAUGGAACUCUGGCUGGAAAAAUUCAAAGGUAAUGAUACAGUAAACACUUGGGGAACUGCACCAAUAUAGACGCAAUGCUUUUGUAAAGUACAUAGGCUUGUGUUUACAGGAUUAUAAGCUGGAAUGAUGUUCUAUGCCAAGAGGUUUCCUUAGGUCAGACAUGUAUUGUCACUUUUUAAACAUUCCCAUUUCUCAAGCUAGCAUGUUGAACCAUGUUUGUAAUCUUACCUGGGAGCCUUCUCCUUUAUAAAUGUCAUGAUUUAGAAGACAGUCUAUGUAACACCACGUGUUCAGGUCAGUUUAGAGUAUUGGUUUAGUUGCUGUGUGAGACAAAUUAAAAGAAGUAAGUGUGUAUAAUACCUGUGGGUUACUCGCAUCCUAGAAUUGUUACCAUGGUAUUGUGAAUAGUUCACAUGGUCAAUAUGUGUCAUUGAUUAGAACAGGAAUCUCUUACUGAAUUCUUCUUUCUCAACUCUAACUACCUAGAGAAGUCUAGAUCAGGUAUAGCUUUGACUUUUUUGAAUCAUUUUUCUGUGUGAUACAUAGAAGGAUUUCAUACUUAACCAGAGCUUUGAGCUCCCAUUGCAACCCAGGAGCCCUGCAUCUCUGUCUUGCUGUAGCAAAGCUUUUAUAAUUGCAUUUUGUAGGGUCACAAGUGUGCUCUCUGCUCCUUAUGUUCUAGAGUGUCACAAGAGUGUUACAUGGAUUCAUACUACAUUAGAUAUUAAAUGUGUCUCCACUCCAUAUGGUUGGAAAGAUGGUUUGCUGUUUAAGAACACUGGAUGUUCUCAUACACAGAACACACAUGGUUUUCAAAAAUCUUCAUUCAUUCUAAUACCAGGGCAUUGAGUAGAGUCAUGAGUGCGAUUUUGCUCCUUAUGUUCUAGAUUGUUAUAAGGGAUUGUCGUCGAUUCAUAAUACAUUAGAUACUAAAUGUGUCCCCAUGGUGGCAAGAAUGAUGGUUUGCUGUUUGUGUUAUCAAAUUCAUAAAUAAUUUGAAAAAUGUUUUUCCAUGUUUCUGUACAGAAAAGUGAUUUGCAGAAAAUAUUUUAUGUAAUACUCUAGCUAUAUAUUCUUACUUCUUUUGAAUUCUGAUUAUACUGUGAGUUGGUCUACAAAACAUUUACCCUACUUGUUCUUUGUAGUUAGAUUUCUAACUUACAUUAUUUUCAAGAUGGUCUAACCUAAAAUUCUCCUUUUUCUUUGUUUAGCCUUUUGCAACAGAUCCCAAAACCAAACUUUAUACUAUUAAAACAUCUCAUAUGUGUAUUAGUAAUAAUAAAAAAUUCUUCCAUGAAUAAUUUAGACAGUUACAGGUUAUCUCUGCGCAUAGCUCCACAUGUACUGUGGGGUCAGACUUCGAGAGAUUCAUUAUUUGGGAGUGACGUCUUAAGAAAGGAAACCCUAGGAUUGCAUUCUUAUGGAGUGGAGUAGAAUAUGUAUUGAUCUAUUUCAGGAAGAUUUGGAAAGGGAGAUUUUUAAUGCAGUUUAAAAUGUCUCUUAUACAAAUUAUGAUUGACAACUAUGAUCAAAUAUUUGGAAAUGAUGAUAUAUUUAGUAAACACACUGACAAAAGGUCUGAAGACUUAAAGACAUAAACAGAAUCAAUAAAUUAUUCUGGAAAUUCUCCUAUUAUGACAAAAGCCAUAGCUGGCCACAACAAGAAAACCAAUGAUAUUGAUGAAAAAUUUAAUAUUUCAUAUGCUGCACUGCAGGAAGAAGGUCCUACAGAGAAACAGAAAGGCUAUAUAUAUGCAUACCAAGCCACCAGUUUAUUCUGAUCCAACACCACCAAGAAAGAAAUGCUUAUUUGGCAAAACUCUUACAAACAUUUAUGUCGACAGAAAGCUGCCUGCUCCAAAACUUGACUUCAUUGCAAACAUUGAAGGAAGUUUACUUACUUCUGACUUAUAUGAGAAUUGACUUAGCAUCCCAGAUGAAGGAACUCUGGUUGGAAAAAUUAAUGCCAUCCAAAGAUGUCCAUUACACAAAUCAUGAUCGACAACUAUCAUCAAAUAUUUGGAAAUGAUGAUAUAUUUAAUAAACAUAUUGACAGAAGAUCUGAGGAUUUAAAGACUUGUGCAGAUUCAAUAAACUCUUCUGGCAAAUCACCUAUUAUGAAAGAAUUCCUAGCUGGCCACAACAGGAAAACAUGCAAUAAUGGUGUAAAAUUAAAAAUUUCAUCCAUUGCUCUGCAGGAGGAAGGUCCUACAGGACAGAACAGAACAACUACCACAUAUAAGUGGUAGAAGAUGACUGAAGACAUUAUAAGGUCAUUCUAUUUUAAUGUUCCCUUCUACCUUCCACUUAAUCAUAGCAGAACAAUUAUUACAAGAUCCUGCUUCAGCAUUCAUAUGCUAUCAUAAUAAAUGUUAAAAUAAAUAAAAGUGUUAUUGCUUACA